CAUUCCCGUCUGAUGAAGCAUUAAGACUGAAACGGAUCGCUGCAGUUCAUAGGAAUGACUGGGAACCCAGUAAACAGUUCGUUAUAUGUGAACUGAUUUCACUGCAGACGACAUUGAGAAAAUUACCAGUGCUUACGACCCAAAACUGGCAAACUCUUUACAGCACCUUUGGACCGUCCACGUUUAAAGAAACGUUCGUGAAAAUUUAUCGUAAAGGGUACUUGUAAUCAGUUUUCAGAUUAAUGUUCAGAUGCCGUACCUUCAAAGUUGCAAGGAUGAACUACGUAUUUAUCUUCAAAACAAGCACCAGCUCGAGAAGAUCCAGAGAGUCGCGAACGUUUGGAGAACCAAGCACUUGAGAAAGUCAUUGAGCAGAGUGUGGGAUCACACAAAAAAUGAUGGAAAAGAGUUCAUUUGCUAGUUUAGAAGAUUUUAAAUCAAAAUUAUCUGAUUGUGAAAAGCACAGUGACUGGGUCACGGUAACUAAAUCAAAUAAUUUGUGUCUUGUGUUAAAGGAUGCUCCUUAUCUAAAUGUUGUGUGGCAUGUCGUUAUAAAUAGUGAUUUAGUGUUAAGUGCAUUUGUGAAGGAAGCUGAGCUAAAUUGUGCUGGUACGAUUAAAUUACCAAACCAAGUAAGUGAUACUGGUACAGUUAGCAAUAUUUUGAAAGAGUUGUAUGUGAUGUUUCAUAUAAAUGAGGCUC
This is a long non-coding RNA of Schistocerca americana (American grasshopper), 702 nucleotides long. RefSeq lists it as uncharacterized. The record is from RefSeq and is a predicted model, not a curated record. Lineage: Eukaryota; Metazoa; Arthropoda; Insecta; Orthoptera; Acrididae. The transcript has 3 exons.